GCUGCAGCCCCUAAUACUCUCCAUUGCCCCUUGGAGAGGGAGGGAAUGAGGCAGAAAUGUCGAGCAGUAGCAGGUUGUUGCUCAGAGGGAAGAGAAGGUAGAAGUUUGAUCUUGUGAAACACGUUCCAAAGUUCCUAAGGAAAGUAUUCCGCUGAGCCUCGUUGCAAACUGGCCAUUAGCAGGAUUACAUCUUUAUAUCCACAGAGCAAAUAAGUGGAACUGAAAGGAACACUUUCAGAGGAAGGAGAAUCACUCCCUGAACUGUUUUAGAUGUUAGCAGCAGCAAGACACAAACAAUGCAGACACGUUGAGAGAACUCCUCAGGAAGCGAGCACAUCCAGCACCAGCACCUUGCAGAGGGAAAACCAUCUGACAGAUCAUCUUCUGUGCUUGUACAAGCCUGGUUUCCAACCCCAAAGCAUCUCACAGGUUACCAAGUGCUGCAGAGAGUGCUGCUCCUACAAAACCCCUCUUCUCAACUUUCUCAUUUUUCCCUGAACAAGUUAUUCAUCAUUAAAAGCAAACAGGCACGCAGCCCUCAGGAGACUCAGGGCUUCUCAUCACCAGACGUGUCAGUAUAAAUCUGUCCCCAGGGCUCUGGGUGGUGCAGGGUGGCCAGCUGCACAGGCACCCUGCUCGGCGAUCAGCUGGAACGUAACGCAGCAGUUGCCAGAUAAGUCACUUACUGAUUUAUUGAAUGGAGCAGUGGGGGAUGAAAAAACAUUUCUUUGUGCCUUAAUAUAGAGGCAAGGGAGACAAGCACCAAAAUUCAGUGUCUGGAGGAGCUGGCAAAGCCUUUCUGAAGUGUUUGUGUGACAUUAGUGCUGGGAAGUGUUUGCAGAGGUCCCUGGUGCUUUUGCCUGCUUCUGCUUUCCAGAUUGCCGGGCCUGCCGUUAUGCUAUCUGCCAAAGUGCCUGCAGAAAUGUGCUCUCCCACUUGUGCAAUCCCGCUUGUAGUGAUGUUGGCUCUGCUUGCAGCAGCAUCAGUGGUGGUCUGUGCCUAUUGUGUUGCUAAAUAUGUAAUAUGCAGGCUCCACAGCUGAGAUUCAAAUUGCUUCAUGUCGCUGUUCACUUAAGUCUGAAUGCAGAUGUUGCUGUUUACCAUAACGAGGUUUACCUUUUUCCCUGUUUGCUCCCUUCCAUCUUGUGCCUUGUAUGGCUUUCCUUUGCAACGAUGACACAUUUCCACGGUGAAAUGACAGCUCAUAGGGAAACAAAUGGAAGGAAAGACUGAAUGAUCUCAAAUCAAGUGAGAAGCCCAGCAAUGAUAAAAGCUUCCUACGACACCAGCAGUAGCUUAUGCAUUUGUGUGCAUUUGUGCAUGUGUGGGUGGGUAUAUAAGAAAGGAAGAAAAUCUUUGGUUUUGAAGUCUCAGGUCCUUUGCAACAAGAUAAUGAUUUCAGGCUGAAAGGAGCAUUUGACUGAUCUUCUAAUGGAAUUCUUGGGCAGAAAAGAUUUAUUCAGAAAAGUGGAAAUUAGAGAUAACUGAUAACAGCACU
RNAcentral lists this long non-coding RNA (1498 nucleotides) under Anser brachyrhynchus (Pink-footed goose). Its description in RNAcentral is "lncRNA (ENSABRG00000019097.1)". The record is from RNAcentral. Lineage: Eukaryota; Metazoa; Chordata; Aves; Anseriformes; Anatidae.